RNA transcript from Sitodiplosis mosellana (orange wheat blossom midge), 4722 nucleotides. It is a transcript of the gene named vesicle-fusing ATPase 1-like, with no coding region annotated. The record is from RefSeq and is a predicted model, not a curated record. The transcript is spliced from 10 exons. NCBI's taxonomy places the organism in Eukaryota, Metazoa, Arthropoda, Insecta, Diptera, Cecidomyiidae.
ACAGCUGUUUUUAACACCCAAAUCCCGAAUGUGGAACUGAGCACAAUUCUGAUAAGAUCAUGCAUGUGUGCGUGAAUACUUCCACAGCACCACAUUGUUUACACUUUUGCUUGAUUGAGUGAGUGACUUUUGGAAAUUGAGUGAUUUUGUUUGAGUUAAUUUUGUUUUUGGAAGGCAAAUGUGAGUUUAAAUGGAAAUUGUUGUAUUAAAAUCGAAUGAAAUUAAAUCGACAAUUCAUUAUUUCCUCUUUUUUCAUUCAUUCGGAAAUUAUUCAAUGAUGUUCGCAGUGAAUCACACGAAAAAUAUAUCCCAUCAUUUCCACAAAAUCCCAUUUCCAUUGCGUUAUUUAGUCGCAUGCAAAAUAACGCAUGACACUUGCGAAAACUAACUGACAGCACCACGAACGCGCUGUAUUGUUGUACACAAUUUUCAGUGUUUGACAGUUUGCUCAGUCAACACAUAUUACGUGCGCAACAAAUACACGAUUAUCUGAUGUCACACAGUGAAAUCCAUUCCAACAGCGCAACCACAAGACAGUCGAGCUAUUCACAGGGAUAGAGAAUCAUCGUCCAUCCUUUGCAGUGGCUGAAGAAUAGAAAAAAAAAUUCACUUUUUCCACAUUCGACAAGGGCGAACGGUAUUUUAUCUAUAGCAUAGAUUGUGUUGUGUAGAAAGGGGAAGUUCUCGAAACUGAACAAUGAGUGUGCGUAUGAAAGCAACGAAGUGUCCUUCAGACGAGAUUUCAUUGACGAACAAGGUUGCCGUCAACCCAACCGACUUUCCCGAUGACGUUGAACAUAUUCGUGUGUCAACUGGACCUGGUCAACAUUUUGUAUUUUCAAUCAUUCGAACACCAGAAUGCCCGAAAAACAAUGUUGGCUUCUCGUUGGUACAGAGAAAAUGGGCGGCUAUUUCGGUCAAUCAAGACAUCGACGUGAAACUGCAUCGCUUCAAUCCGCAAAGCAAAACAGAAUUCUUGGAUACCGUCACAUUAGAAGUGGAUUUCUUGGCUAAGAAAACCAUAUCCCAAGAGCCCUAUGACACGGAUAAAAUGUCGAAGAAUUUCAUGAUGCAAUUCGCUGGAAUGCCAUUGACGGUGGGCCAACCGUUGGCAUAUCAGUUUGAAGAUAAGAAACUUCUUGCCUUAGUUGUUAAAUCGUUAGAAGCUGUUGAUCCAGCCGCCGUAAUGUCAGAUAAGGAUAAGGUGGAACUGAAGAAAACGGUCUUUGGAAAAUUGAUGGGCAAUGCUAAUGUAAUAUUUGAGAAAGCCGAGAGCUCGUCCGUCAAUUUAACUGGCAACGCCAAAGGAAAAAUCGUUCGUCAGUCAAUCAUCAAUCCGGAUUGGGAUUUUGGCAAAAUGGGAAUCGGUGGUUUGGAUAAGGAGUUCAAUGCGAUAUUCCGUCGUGCAUUUGCUUCUCGAGUAUUUCCACCGGAAUUGGUUGAGCAGUUGGGAUGCAAGCACGUUAAGGGUAUCUUGUUGUUCGGUCCCCCAGGUACUGGCAAGACUUUGAUGGCCCGUCAAAUCGGAAACAUGUUGAAUGCACGUGAGCCUAAAAUUGUGAACGGUCCUCAGAUUCUCGACAAGUAUGUCGGUGAAUCAGAAGCGAACAUUCGUCGUCUGUUUGCCGAUGCUGAAGAAGAGGAGAAACGUUUGGGCCCAAACAGUGGAUUGCAUAUUAUCAUUUUCGAUGAAAUCGAUGCCAUCUGUAAGGCUCGUGGUUCGGUCGCUGGAAACAGUGGUGUUCAUGAUACCGUUGUCAAUCAGUUACUGUCCAAAAUCGACGGUGUCGAUCAGUUGAAUAACAUUCUUGUGAUUGGUAUGACCAACAGAAAGGAUAUGAUUGAUGAUGCUCUGAUGCGUCCUGGUCGUCUUGAGGUUCAAAUGGAAAUUGGAUUACCGAAUGAAGAUGGUCGAUUGCAAAUUCUCAAUAUUCAUACGGCGCGUAUGAGAGACUUCAAGAAAAUCAAUCCCGAUGUUAAUCUCAAAGAAUUGGCAGUGAAGACGAAAAAUUUCAGCGGUGCUGAAUUGGAAGGUUUAGUGCGUGCCGCACAGUCAACAGCAAUGAAUCGCCUGAUCAAAGCCGCUUCAAAGGUUGAAGUCGAUCCCGAAGCUAUUGCCAAAUUGCUUGUUAACCAUGACGAUUUCAUGCACGCAUUGGCAAAUGAUGUAAAACCAGCAUUCGGUACAGCCACCGAAGCGUUGGAAACUUAUUUGUCGCGCGGCAUUAUCAAUUGGGGAACACCAGUGUCAGGCUUACUCGAAGAUGGAUCGUUGUACACACAGCAAGCUCGUGCUCCAGAAGCGUCGGGCUUGGUGUCAAUUCUGCUCGAAGGUCCACCAAACAGUGGCAAAACGGCGUUGGCCGCCAAAUUGGCUCUCUUGUCAGACUUUCCAUUCAUCAAAAUCUGCUCUCCUGAUGACAUGGUUGGAUUCACUGAAUCGGCCAAGUGUCUACAAAUUCGUAAGAUCUUCGACGAUGCUUAUCGUUCACAAUUGAGCUGUAUUCUCGUUGACAAUGUUGAACGUCUCCUUGACUACGGUCCCAUCGGUCCAAGAUAUUCCAAUUUGACGUUGCAAGCCUUGCUUGUGCUGUUGAAGAAACAACCACCAAAGGGACGUAAACUAUUAAUCCUCUGCACAACUAGCCGAAGACAAGUGUUGGAGGACAUGGAGAUGAUAUCCGCAUUCACAUCGACUUUGCAUGUUCCAAAUUUAUCGAAGCCAGAGCAUGUAUUAGCUGUACUCGAGGAAAAUGAUCUCUUCAAUAAAUCCGAUUUGGCAUCGUUGGCGAAGCGAAUGAAUGGUUACAAAGUAUUCAUCGGUAUCAAGAAAUUGUUGGAUUUGAUUGAUAUGGCGCGACAAACAGAGCCGCAGUACCGUAUCAUCAAAUUUUUGACUAAGCUAGAAGAAGAGGGCGGUUUGGUGCCUAACUGAAUACCUGACAGUGAUCAGCAUGAUCAGCAGUUGCAGGCUCGCGUUGUUAAUUUCAACGAUGUGUUCUAGACAGCUUGCUAUGCAUGCAGACAACAACAAAAAAUGUGUCAAACAUUCAUGCAACUCACAUUCAGCAAAUCCAUUUUUAAAAUCUAAUAUUAAACCGCAUACAAACCAACAACAGCCACCCGGAAUGUGAGAGAAUGUUAAAGUAUCAUUAAUCUAUAAUAUUUAUCAAACAAAUAGACAAAAAAAACUCUUUAUAACAAAUGUAUCAAUGCUUUGAAGCAAAGCCGCCAUGCAGAUGAAGAAAAGACAAGUGUCAAGUGGGAUUUGUUAGGCAUACAUUCCGUAGAAGAAGAAGAAGAAGACAUGAAAAAUUAAGCUCAUUUUGAAUCAUUCCCAGCAUUUGCACGGCGAUGGCAACAACUAGCAAAGGAAUAUAUAUAUACAUUAACCCAAGGUCGAUAGAACAAUUCAAUACAACAUGUAUAUUUUAAGGCAGUAUUUUCAAUGUGCAUUGUAUGAUAAAAAAAUACCAUUGGUUUAACUAUAUUUCAUUUGAUUCGUUCAACGAGAUUGUUCAAUUUUGUUUUUCGUUUAUUCCACAUCAUCUAGUCAUCCCUUGCAUUUCGUUUUUUUUUUAAAUCCGAAAGUCAAUUACGAUUACAUAAAAUGUGAAAAUAAUACAAACAAUGCUUCUUUUGUUCUUCCCCAUUUAUUUGAAUAUAGUUUGGUAGAUUGGAAAUGUUCCAAAUAUAAGAAAAAAGAAAAUGGCUUAAAGCAAUACAAUUAUUAUAUGCAUAAAAAAAAGUAACAAAUGAAGAUAUCUUAAAAGAAAACUAGAUGAAAAAAAAAUUAACAAAAUACUGAGAAAAAUAAAAUAUUUCAAUUAUUUAAUGUUAUUAAGAUGAAGAUCGAGAUGAAGAGGGAAAAGAUCACAAAAAAUCUAAUAUUUGAAUAAUAAACGAAAAAGGAACUCUUAAGACAUAACCAAUUUAUUUGAAAAAUAUUGUUCGUUCAUUCUAUUUUUUAGUUUAAUUUCUAUUUAUUCUAUCUAUUUGUGUAAAAUGACUAAUAUAGUCAACAAGUUUUUCUAUUAUGUGCAUUUUGUUCAAUGAUUUGAGUAGAGAUGAACAAAUUUAGUUUCAUUCGAUUGAAUGUUUUUAACGAAAAUUGAUGUAUCAAUGAAUGGCUUGCUAAGGUCAUAUAUUGAUCGAAUGCUUUAUUCUUCUCUUAGUCGAUUUUUAAAAAAUUGAUUUCAAGGUUCACUGAUUUAAUUUUCUGUUCCAAUAACAAUCAUAACAAAUGAAUUCAUUUUCUGAUUUUGGAAAAUAUGCGAGCGGAAUUUAUGAAAAACAGACAACUAUUGUGCUAGGAAAUUUAUUGAAAUUUCAUUUGCAUUCAGUCCAGAUUAACAAAAAGAAUGCAAAUUGUAAAUAAAGAGUUAAAACCUUGUUGAAAAGUUGAAAAUGGCUCGUCUAGGUGUGUUAUACGAAAUUAGAAUUUUCAUUUCAGAUCUAAAUCGCUUCUGUAUACCUUCAAUCUCACCUGCUAGCUACGCUAUGCUACACUUUAAUCUAUCCUCUCAUGACAACCUACACUAGUGAACAACAUUUUUCUCUCUUUUUGGAUUUUUUUCACGAGUUGGUCUUAGACCGCGUAGUGAUUGCACCUCAUUUAUAGUUAUAAUUUUAUUUCAUGGCAUUUGUUAACAUUUGUUAACAUUUCGAAAAACAAAUUCUUUCAUGUAAAUAAAAACAAAAUUAUUUAAACUAAAAAAAAAA